RNAcentral lists this small RNA (972 nucleotides) under Pongo abelii (Sumatran orangutan). RNAcentral describes it as "processed transcript". Lineage: Eukaryota; Metazoa; Chordata; Mammalia; Primates; Hominidae. The record is from RNAcentral.
CCCCACACCCCCGUCUCUGGCCCCCAUUUGCCUACACCCGGGCCUUCCUCCACCACCCCUGCAUUUACCCCUCUUCCUCCUCCUCUCCCCUCCCUCCCCCGCUACCCUAACUUUGCCAGGCUGCUUUUCCCUUCCAUCCAUCUUAAAGGAAGGAAGGGACGGGCUGAGUUCCCCGACGAAGGACACACCCAGAUUUUCCUGCAGCUUGGGGAGAGGUCCUCCCAGGACCCUUGGUCCCUCCUGGCCUAACGGAGUCCUUAGCCAGGAUGGAGGCUGUUGUGAACUUGUACCAAGAGAUGAUGAAGCACGCAGAUCCCCGGAUCCAGGGCUACCCUCUGAUGGGGUCCCCUUUGCUAAUGACCUCCAUCCUCCUGACCUACGUGUACUUCGUUCUCUCACUUGGGCCUCGCAUCAUGGCUAAUCGGAAGCCCUUCCAGCUCCGUGGCUUCAUGAUUGUCUACAACUUCUCACUGGUGGCACUCUCCCUCUACAUUGUCUAUGAGUUCCUGAUGUCGGGCUGGCUGAGCACCUAUACCUGGCGCUGUGACCCUGUGGACUAUUCCAACAGCCCUGAGGCACUUAGGAUGGUUCGGGUGGCCUGGCUCUUCCUCUUCUCCAAGUUCAUUGAGCUGAUGGACACAGUGAUCUUUAUUCUCCGAAAGAAAGAUGGGCAGGUGACCUUCCUACAUGUCUUCCAUCACUCUGUGCUUCCCUGGAGCUGGUGGUGGGGGGUAAAGAUUGCCCCGGGAGGAAUGGGCUCUUUCCAUGCCAUGAUAAACUCUUCUGUGCAUGUCAUAAUGUACCUGUACUACGGAUUGUCUGCCUUUGGCCCUGUGGCACAACCCUACCUUUGGUGGAAAAAGCACAUGACAGCCAUUCAGCUGAUCCAGUUUGUCCUGGUCUCACUGCACAUCUCCCAGUACUACUUUAUGUCCACCUGUAACUACCAGUACCCAGUCAUUAUUCACCUCA